AAUAAUGAUGAGUUUUAUCCUAGCUCAGAAUAAACGCUUUAUAAAUGCUUAACACAUGCAAAUUAAAUUUUUAUUAGGUAAAAAAAAUUAGUGAACUAGUGAGUAUAUUUGAGAAUAUAACCUUAAAAAUUAUAAAUUUCAAUAUAAAUAAAUAUAUAUAUAUAUAUAUUUAAUAAAAUUAAAUAAAAUUUUUAAGGAAUAGCUAUUUUUUGAUUAGUUAGUUGGUAAAAUAAAAGUUUACCAAGACAAUUAUCAUAAAUUGAUCUUAUUGGAUAAUCAAUCACAUUGGAAUUGAGAUAUAGUUCAAAUUUGUUUAAUUUCAAAGCAGCAGUGGGGAAUUUUUCGCAAUAAACAAAAGUUUGACGAAUCAAUUUAUAGUGAAGACAGAAGGCUUUUAGUUGUAAACUUCUUUUAUUAUAAAAAAAGUAAAAUGAUAACUAUAAUGAAUAAACAUCGGCUAAUUCUGUGCCAGCAGCCGCGGUAAUACAGAAGAUGUAAGCGUUAUUCAAAAUAAUUAGGCAUAAAGUGUCUAUAAAAUUGUUUUUUAAAUCUAUUAUUAAAUUCAAAAAUAUAAAUAUUGUAAAAAUAAUAAAAAUUAAUAAACUUGAGUUUAAUUAAGAAAAUAAGGAAUUAAUAAUGUAAUGGUGAAAUAUAUAAAAAUUAUUAGGAACACCAAAAGUCAAAAGAAUUAUUUUUAAAGUAAACUGACAUUUAACAAAUGACGAAAGCUAAGGGAUCAAAAGGGAUUAGAGACCCCUGUAGUCUUAGCUGUAAAUUAUAAAUACUAAUUUUUUUUCAAAAUAUAAAUAAAAAAAAUAUCAUAAACAUUAAGUAUUUCGCCUGAGGAGUAUGUUUGCAAGAAUAAAACUUAAAGGAAUUGACGGGGGUCUAUAAAAGCGGUGGAGUAUGUGGUUUAAUUCGAUGCAAAGCGAAAAACCUUACCAGGAUUUGAUAUAAUUAAUUUAUUUUGAAAAAAAUAAAUAAAAAAAAUAAAUAUUUUUUUUUAUUUACAGAUGGUGCAUGGCUGUCGUAAGCUCGUGCUGUGAAGUGUUUGGUUAAUUCCUUUAACGAGCGAAACCCUUUAAUUAUAUUUACUUAAAAAAUUAAAGUACCAAUAAUUUAUUUUUGUGAUAAACUUAUUUUCUUAUUUAGGAUUACGUCAAGUCAUUAUGCCUUUUAUAUUCUGGGCUACACACGUACUACAAUGAAUUUGACAAAUAUAAAUAAAAAAAAAAUAUGUAAAAUUAAAUUAUUAAAAUAAUUUUUUAAACUUAUUCUUAGUUCGGAUUAAAAACUGAAACUCGUUUUUAUGAAGUUGGAAUCGCUAGUAAUCAUUGGUCAUCUAUACAAUGGUGAAUUAAUAAAUUAGAUCUUGUACACACUGCCCGUCACAUUAUAAAAAUUAAAUAGAUUUAAAAUUUUAAUUAAGAUUAUUAUUAAAAUAUAUUUUUUAAUUAUAAUGAAGUCGUAACAAGGUAGCUUUACUAGAAAGUGUGGCUGGAUUAUUUAAAA
This 1512-nucleotide ribosomal RNA is filed under the name Rhopalocnemis phalloides. RNAcentral's name for it is "16S ribosomal RNA". It matches the Rfam family "Bacterial small subunit ribosomal RNA". The record is from RNAcentral. Lineage: Eukaryota; Viridiplantae; Streptophyta; Magnoliopsida; Santalales; Balanophoraceae.